RNAcentral lists this ribosomal RNA (119 nucleotides) under Pteropus vampyrus (large flying fox). The record is from RNAcentral. Lineage: Eukaryota; Metazoa; Chordata; Mammalia; Chiroptera; Pteropodidae.
GUCUAUGGUCAUGCUACCCUGAACAAGCCGGUUACUGUCUGAUCUCAGAAGCUAAGCAGGGUCGGGCUUGGUUAGUACUUGGAUGGGAGACCACCUAGGAAGACCAGGUGCUGCAGGCU